This 64-nucleotide transfer RNA is filed under the name Ceratocanthus sp. CER01. RNAcentral describes it as "tRNA-Glu". Lineage: Eukaryota; Metazoa; Arthropoda; Insecta; Coleoptera; Hybosoridae. The record is from RNAcentral.
AUUUAUAUAGUUUAUAAAAACAUUACAUUUUCAUUGUAAAAUAAGAAAAGUUUUCUUAUAAAUA